AAAACUUCACGUAACGGAAAUUAAGGGGGUAUUCCAGUGUAGAGGCAUGAAUUUGAGGUGUUUUUUGAAGUGCUAUAAACAAAAAACAA
This 89-nucleotide long non-coding RNA is filed under the name Neodiprion pinetum (white pine sawfly). Its description in RNAcentral is "uncharacterized LOC124218910". The record is from RNAcentral. Lineage: Eukaryota; Metazoa; Arthropoda; Insecta; Hymenoptera; Diprionidae.